UAAAUACUCCCUCCGUCUUAAAAUUCUUGUCUUAAGUUUUAUUAGAAAUGAAUGUAUCUAAAUACUAAAACGUGACUAGAUACAUCCGUAUCUAGAUAAAUCUAAGAUAAGAAUUUUGGAACGGAAGGAGUAUAAG
This is a non-coding RNA of Hordeum vulgare subsp. vulgare (domesticated barley), 136 nucleotides long. The record is from Rfam. Lineage: Eukaryota; Viridiplantae; Streptophyta; Magnoliopsida; Poales; Poaceae.